GCGAAUCUCGGCAAGAUUUUACCCCAGUGAAAAAGGCUUGUAAUCCAAAGUUCCUCAACCUGGAAGAUAUGUUUUGUUCCUAACCAUCUAUAAUCCAUUCUCUAUGAAGUGAAGCCUGGCUGCUGGUCUUCCUUUGGAAAUACACAGGGAAAGAAAACUACUUGAGUGUUUCUACUGCCCCCGAGAUCUGCUUAUGAGUGCAUGGGGACUGCGGUGUACCUUCUCUCCUGUUUAAACAGACUUUGGAGGCUGGCGCAUGAAUCUUCAUUCACAAAAGGCAUCAACAGUAUGUCUGUGGAAGUUCCAUUAUUCUUGGGAGUUAUGCCCAGCAACACAAAUCAUGUCCAGCACGUACAUUGGAUCUGCUAACUUUACUUUAGGAUACCUAGGAUUUCAAAAGUUCAUCAUGUUCAGGAAAGAAGACAUUUUAAUUGGUAAAUGAAGGAGAGAAAAAUUGAAGGGAGGAGGUGUAUAGUUUACAUGGUGCAUUUUAAGUACUAUGACUAGGGUGAAGAAGGGGAUUUCACUUGGAUAACUGAGGCUUGGUUAACUGAGGAACAGAAACAACACAGCUCUGUGGUCUGCAUAAACAGAUGAUUAACUGAUGAUUAAUAGCUGGCCAUACCAAGUUUGAACCUGACCACCCCAUUUUGGAGUAAAGAAGCUAAAUUGGAGAAAGUUAAAAAUAGGAAUUUUAGCAGAGGGAAAUUUAUUUUAUCAGAGAUAGCACAUUCUGUUCAUAAGUCAAGGAAACAUAUACACAGCAUUCUACAUAUUGUCCAGGACCAGAAGAAGCCAGUGGUGUUUUAUAAUUGAAAACCUCAGUGACAUCUCUUCAGAAUGUUUUCUAGACCUUUGAAAUUUUAAACUAAAAAAUCAUAACAUGUAUAUCACAGAGAGAAGACUAUCCGUUUUUUAUUAUUAUUUUUUUUUUUUUAUUUUUUAUUAUUUUUUUUUUAAACAUCACUUUAAAGUAUGUGAGUGUCCAGAUUAUUUGUAUUCUAAUAAAUUUAAAGUUCUGAAAAAAUAAAAAAGACAUACCAGAA
Saccostrea cuccullata (small rock oyster) is the source of this 1046-nucleotide long non-coding RNA. RefSeq lists it as uncharacterized. The record is from RefSeq and is a predicted model, not a curated record. The transcript has 7 exons. NCBI's taxonomy places the organism in Eukaryota, Metazoa, Mollusca, Bivalvia, Ostreida, Ostreidae.